UGUCUCGCAGGGUCCGCAGGGCCCGGACGGCCCAACGGGAGAAGCCGGCCCCGAGGGCACCAAGGUAAUGCUGUUAAAGAGCAUCUCUGCAUGCAUGUGAGGGCUGAUUUGGAGGCCUUCCUUUGAAUAAAUCAUUGCUCGUUUUAGCAGCUACUGUUUCAGGACUGGUCUGAUCAAUUCCAGUUUUCUGAAUGAAAAGUGUAAUUUUUUUACCUGCAGGGUGAAAAAGGUGUCAUGGGGCAAAAAGGAGAACUCGGAUCCAUAGGCAAACGUGGGGGUCCCGGUGAGAGAGGCCCUCCUGGGAAGCUCGGUAAACCAGGUGGCCUUGGCAGCACUGGGGAGAAAGGCCCCCCCGGCGAGCCAGUACGUAUGAUGUCAUCUAAUGCAGUCCAACCAAAACUCUGCUUGUGA
This 411-nucleotide long non-coding RNA is filed under the name Takifugu rubripes (torafugu). RNAcentral describes it as "lncRNA (ENSTRUG00000026514.1)". Lineage: Eukaryota; Metazoa; Chordata; Actinopteri; Tetraodontiformes; Tetraodontidae. The record is from RNAcentral.